This 654-nucleotide ribosomal RNA is filed under the name Kingella kingae. Its description in RNAcentral is "partial 23S ribosomal RNA". It matches the Rfam family "Bacterial large subunit ribosomal RNA", at positions 225 to 919 of the family's 2925-position model. The record is from RNAcentral. Lineage: Bacteria; Pseudomonadati; Pseudomonadota; Betaproteobacteria; Neisseriales; Neisseriaceae.
UCAACCGAGAUUCCGCAAGUAGUGGCGAGCGAACGCGGAAAAGCCUGUAUAUGAUAAUGGUUAAGAUAGAAGAAGGGAUUGGAAACUUCCGCCAUAGUGGGUGAUAGCCCCGUAUUUGAAAUCUUAACCAUGGUACUAAGUAUACGAGAAGUAGGGCGGGACACGUGAAAUCCUGUCUGAAUAUGGGGGGACCAUCCUCCAAGGCUAAAUACUCAUCAUCGACCGAUAGUGAACCAGUACCGUGAGGGAAAGGCGAAAAGAACCCCGGAAGGGGAGUGAAAUAGAACCUGAAACCUGAUGCAUACAUACAGUGGGAGCAUCUUUGUGGUGUGACUGCGUACCUUUUGUAUAAUGGGUCAACGACUUACAUUCAGUAGCGAGCUUAACCGAGUAGGGGAGGCGUAGGGAAACCGAGUCUUAAUAGGGCGACUAGUUGCUGGGUGUAGACCCGAAACCGAGUGAUCUAUCCAUGGCCAGGAUGAAGGUGCGGUAAAACGCAUUGGAGGUCCGAACCCACGCAUGUUGCAAAAUGUGGGGAUGAGCUGUGGAUAGGGGUGAAAGGCUAAACAAACUCGGAGAUAGCUGGUUCUCCCCGAAAACUAUUUAGGUAGUGCCUCGAGUAUGAGACUGAUGGGGGUAAAGCACUGUUAUGGC